Molecule: non-coding RNA, 246 nt
Organism: Pelobates cultripes (western spadefoot toad)
Lineage: Eukaryota; Metazoa; Chordata; Amphibia; Anura; Pelobatidae
Source: the annotation of a GenBank genome assembly
CGUCUCCCGAUGUCCCUUAGUGUCUCUGUGUCUGCCAUAAUGUCUCCCAGUGUCCCUUAGUGUCUGCCAUAAUGUUUCCCAAUGUCCCUUAGUGUCUCAGUGUCUGCCAUAAUGUCUCCCAGUGCCCCUUAGUGUCUUAGUGUCUCAGUGUCUGCCAUAAUGUCUCCCAAUGCCCUUUAGUGUCUCAGUGUAUGUCUCCUUGCAGCCUUUCCCCCAUCCCUUACUUCCCUGAGCUGUAGGCUGUCU